Molecule: non-coding RNA, 1637 nt
Organism: Kogia breviceps (pygmy sperm whale)
Lineage: Eukaryota; Metazoa; Chordata; Mammalia; Artiodactyla; Physeteridae
Source: RefSeq, a predicted model, not a curated record
CUCACCUGGAGUUUGGGGUCCAGAGAGCACAGGAAGAAGUCUAUUUUAAUGUGAAAAAACUCUCUUAACUGGGGCAACCUGUCAUGCAGACAGAACACUAGCAGAAAAAAUUUAAGAUAGAAUUAUUUUUCAGAAAUCUGCUAAUGACUCCUACACUUGGUAAAUUGUCCUUUUGCAGCAGAAAUUCUACCUGGUGACAGCACAGCAGGAUCCAUCAUUGUCCUUGCUCUGUGGAGGAAACUGAAAGGUCAAGCAGGUCAGCUGCCCAGGAUUUCAGAGAGGAAUCCUCUCCAGAAGCUAAGCCCAGAUGACUGGGUCAAAAUACUCGCUGCAUGAGCUGUCUUUGAUCUGGGAACUACACAGACACCAAGGAUUCGUCCCAUGGAGCAGAUGUGGUAGCAAGACUAUUAAGGUGAAAGCAUGUCACUGUUCCUUGUCACUGGGCUACCAUAUCCCAGGUUUACACAUCGAUCUAAUUCUAAGCCCAUGGGCUGACGGGAUGGAAAGCAGAGGAUGUGGAGAGGCAUCGCUUACCCAGCAACUGAGGAAAUCCUUAAUUUCCAGAGGAGAAUAUCUAGUUUAGAGGGCUGAAAAAAGUUGAGGUGGCAGAAGGAGGAGAGAACUAACGUCAACAUUGAUGUUCUCUGAAUUUAUGUCUCUCUAUUACUUAAGGGAGAUAAACUGUAUUUAAAAUAAUGUUUAUCAACAUAAAACCAAAGGAGUCUUUAUAAGCGGAUUCACCAGUAGAAACUUUUCCGUGUAUAUAAUUUCCUGAUCUUUGUUUCUGUUUCCAAAUGUGAUCAAUGAGGUCUUACGGAAAAUGAUCUCAGGAUUUCUCAUUUUCAUAUGAGUACGACGUUGAAACUGUUGUGAUGGAGUGGGACUGUUGCUCAUAGAAGCUAAUCACCUGCUGUACAGAAGCCAUGCAAACUGUGGAAAGGCCCACGUGAAGAGGAACUGAUGCCUUUUAUCCCUCAGCACCAUCAGACAGACUCCACAUAAGACCAGCACCAAUUUGCCAGCCAUCUUAUCAUAGAUUUCACGUGUGACAUGAAAAUCAGCUGUGAUCACCACAUCAUUAGAUAAAAAGACCACGAACUGGCAGCCGACAAACCAAGCUGAUGACUUCCAAAGACUCCGGAAAGAAAGAUUUAACUUCUCUCCAGCCCAAGCACCCCUCUGGCCAGAGGUUAAAAACAAGAAGAUUGUAAUUCAGUAAAGCAUGGUGGACUUCCUAAAACAGUCCAAAGGUUUUGUUUUGUUUUGAAAAUGAAUUGAUAAGGGAAAAUAUGCUGGUAGCAAGGGUUGGAGUCAAGCUAGUCAUUUGUUUUCAGGUCUUCAUGCCUUUUUAAAGUUUUUUUUUUAUACCUUCUUCAUAAUGAAAACAAGAUGUGCAUUCCUUACAAAUAGCUACUCUUACCCUUGACCUCCAUGUGGUCAACAACCAAACUUUCUACCCUUGACCAAAUAAAUGCAAACCCUUUCAGAACAAAUAUGCCUUUGAGCCGGGAAGACCUUUAACAUUUCUGUGCAGAGUUAUUUGAUGCUCACACAGCUGAACAUUAGUCAUCAGUGCAGUAGGUUAACCCUUGUCCUGCUCCUUCAGAUAAUGGCCAUGUUGAAGUAAUUUGAUCCAA